RNAcentral lists this non-coding RNA (249 nucleotides) under Streptomyces sp. Amel2xC10. RNAcentral's name for it is "Streptomyces sRNA 4677". It matches the Rfam family "Streptomyces sRNA 4677". Rfam says of the family: Located in the intergenic region between anti-sigma factor SCO4677 gene and a putative regulatory protein gene SCO4676. scr4677 expression requires the SCO4677 activity and scr4677 sRNA itself seem to affect the levels of the SCO4676-associated transcripts. Lineage: Bacteria; Bacillati; Actinomycetota; Actinomycetes; Kitasatosporales; Streptomycetaceae. The record is from Rfam by way of RNAcentral.
CACCCCGGUGCGACCUGCGCCUCCUAUGAACUACCCACUGGGGAUAAAGCACCCCACCAAGCCCCACCCCUCCCUCCCGCCGCGCAAACUCACUCCCGCGAGUGAAUAUGCCCAACUGGGCUGGAUUCGCACCCGGUUGCCUGCCUUACGCUCACCGCAGCAAGAAGCAACCCCAGACAUGCGACGGCCCCCGCCGGGAGUAGCGAUCCCUGCGAGGGCCUGACCACCGAGGAAGCUAGGACCUUCCUG